GAGGAAUAUUGCGCAAUGGACGAAAGUCUGACGCAGCCAUGCCGCGUGAAGGAUGACUGCCCUAUGGGUUGUAAACUUCUUUUAUAUACCAAGAAACCUUAGGACGUGUCCUGAGCUGACGGUAGUAUAUGAAUAAGCACCGGCUAACUCCGUGCCAGCAGCCGCGGUAAUACGGAGGGUGCAAGCGUUAUCCGGAUUUAUUGGGUUUAAAGGGUCCGUAGGUGGACCAUUAAGUCAGAGGUGAAAGCCCGCGGCUCAACCGCGGAACUGCCUUUGAUACUGGUGGUCUUGAGUGUGCUCGAAGUUGGCGGAAUAUGACAUGUAGCGGUGAAAUGCUUAGAUAUGUCAUAGAACACCGAUUGCGAAGGCAGCCAACUAGGUCACAACUGACACUGAGGGACGAAAGCGUGGGGAGCGAACAGG
Molecule: ribosomal RNA, 423 nt
Filed under: uncultured bacterium
Lineage: Bacteria
Description: bacterial SSU rRNA
Rfam family: Bacterial small subunit ribosomal RNA
Source: RNAcentral